UAGGGAAUCUUCGGCAAUGGGGGCAACCCUGACCGAGCAACGCCGCGUGAGUGAAGAAGGUUUUCGGAUCGUAAAGCUCUGUUGUAAGAGAAGAACGUGUGUGAGAGUGGAAAGUUCACACAGUGACGGUAACUUACCAGAAAGGGACGGCUAACUACGUGCCAGCAGCCGCGGUAAUACGUAGGUCCCGAGCGUUGUCCGGAUUUAUUGGGCGUAAAGCGAGCGCAGGCGGUUUAAUAAGUCUGAAGUUAAAGGCAGUGGCUUAACCAUUGUUCGCUUUGGAAACUGUUAAACGUGAGUGCAGAAGGGGAGAGUGGAAUUCCAUGUGUAGCGGUGAAAUGCGUAGAUAUAUGGAGGAACACCGGUGGCGAGAGCGGCUCUCUGGUCUGUAACUGACGCUGAGGCUCGAAAGCGUGGGGAGCAAACAGG
This 429-nucleotide ribosomal RNA is filed under the name bacterium. Its description in RNAcentral is "partial 16S ribosomal RNA". It matches the Rfam family "Bacterial small subunit ribosomal RNA", at positions 355 to 776 of the family's 1533-position model. The record is from RNAcentral.